GAUGAACGCUAGCGGCAUGCUUAACACAUGCAAGUCGAACGGAAAGGCUCCGCUCUAGUGGGGUGCUCGAGUGGCGUACGGGUGAGUCACUCGUGAGUAUACUGCCCUUGUAUCUGGGAUAAAUUUGGAUAAAUACCGCUUAUUAUAGAUAGACGCUACUGCUGCCUGGUGAGGGUUGGGACGUUUAGGCGGUGGUGGACGGGCUAGCGGCUUAUUGGCUUGUUAGUGGAGUAGUCGCUUGCCAAGGCUUUGAGGGGCAGCGGGCCUGAGAGGGUGAACGGCCAAAUUAGGACUGAGAUACGGCACAGACUCCUGCGGGAGGCAGCAGUGGGGAAUAUUGCAUGAUGGACGGAAGCCUGAUGCAGCAACGCCGCGUUCGGGAUUACGGCCUUCGGGUUGUAAACCACUUUCGCCUGUGACGAAGCGUGAGUGACGGUAAUGUGUAAAGAAGCACCGGCUAACUACGUG
This 468-nucleotide ribosomal RNA is filed under the name uncultured bacterium. RNAcentral describes it as "partial 16S ribosomal RNA". It matches the Rfam family "Bacterial small subunit ribosomal RNA", at positions 28 to 507 of the family's 1533-position model. The record is from RNAcentral.